UGGGGAAUCUUCGGCAAUGGGGGCAACCCUGACCGAGCAACGCCGCGUGAGUGAAGAAGGUUUUCGGAUCGUAAAGCUCUGUUGUAAGAGAAGAACGAGUGUGAGAGUGGAAAGUUCACACUGUGACGGUAACUUACCAGAAAGGGACGGCUAACUACGUGCCAGCAGCCGCGGUAAUACGUAGGCCCCGAGCGUUAUCCGGAUUUAUUGGGCGUAAAGCGAGCGCAGGCGGUUAGAUAAGUCUGAAGUUAAAGGCUGUGGCUUAACCAUAGUACGCUUUGGAAACUGUUUAACUUGAGUGCAGAAGGGGAGAGUGGAAUUCCAUGUGUAGCGGUGAAAUGCGUAGAUAUAUGGAGGAACACCGGUGGCGAAAGCGGCUCUCUGGUCUGUAACUGACGCUGAGGCUCGAAAGCGUGGGGAGCAAACAGGAUUAGAUACCCUGGUAGUCCACGCCGUAAACGAUGAGUGCUAGGUGUUGGGUCCUUUCCGGGACUCAGUGCCGCAGCUAACGCAUUAAGCACUCCGCCUGGGGAGUACGACCGCAAGGUUG
RNAcentral lists this ribosomal RNA (550 nucleotides) under uncultured bacterium. RNAcentral's name for it is "bacterial SSU rRNA". It matches the Rfam family "Bacterial small subunit ribosomal RNA", at positions 355 to 896 of the family's 1533-position model. The record is from RNAcentral.